CGUCGCUGCUCACCAGGCACUGAAGUUGGAGGGGGGAAGAGAGUAAAGAAGGGUGUAUUCUCCGUUUCAGUUCAGUGCUUGACUAGGAAAACCACAUAGUCUUGACCGGUGGGCUCAAGGCUCUAAUGGAAGCUGGUUCUGAUUGUAACUGUCUCAGCUUAAGAGGCGAGGAAAUGAGAACAAGUAACAAGUGCAUUUUUCACCUGAUAAGAAUAAAUUAAGUGGAAGAAUUGAACUUUCAUAGUAUGGCUGCUGAAGGAUCAACACAUGUAGUUGGAAGAUGAAAUUUCCAUUGAUUCCCCAGCCUGAGAGAGUGCAGGCAGCACCAUGUACUGAUGAUUAAAACAAAUAUAUGGAUGAAACACAGUCCUGGCCCACAAGAAACUUCAAGCUUGUUACAGAAGCAGAAGUUCAACUGGUCCUUAAGAAAUGAAAGACCUUCAGUGAAGGUUGAAAGUCCUUCAGUUCAAUCAUGUCACACUUUGAGCAACUCUGGUCUCCUUAGGUCCAUCAUCUGUCCUCAUGGCUCACAGGUGUGCAGGGCGGUUAUGUCCAGGACUAUGGAAUGGACCCUGAUGCUGGGAAAGGCUGAAGAAAGAAGGAGAAGACAGCAACAGACGAUGAGAUGGUUGGGUGGCAUCACUGACUCAAUGGACAUGAACUUGGGCAAACUCCAGGAGAUAGUGAAGGACAGGGAAGCCUGGUGUGUCCGUGGUGUCGCAAAGAGUCAGAUAUGAAUUGGCAACUGAACAACAACAACCCAGGACAAAAAUGGUUACUUCCCACCCAGUUGAAAUACGCUUUCUGUGGAAGGGUAAGAAUCCCAGAAAGUCUGUGGGGCUGGCUUUUGGAGUAAAGAAAUGAGUAAAAUUUUCUCUAGAUUUUC
Long non-coding RNA from Cervus elaphus (red deer), 886 nucleotides. RefSeq lists it as uncharacterized. NCBI's taxonomy places the organism in Eukaryota, Metazoa, Chordata, Mammalia, Artiodactyla, Cervidae. The transcript is spliced from 5 exons. The record is from RefSeq and is a predicted model, not a curated record.